This is a long non-coding RNA of Saccoglossus kowalevskii, 352 nucleotides long. The record is from RefSeq and is a predicted model, not a curated record. Lineage: Eukaryota; Metazoa; Hemichordata; Enteropneusta; Harrimaniidae.
AGCGCCUUGUUGAACCACCCGAAGUGAAACACGAACGUUUAUUUGUAGUGUCUGUACUUGGAUUUUUAGUCAAUCUUGUCGGUAUAUUUGCAUUUCAUCAUGGUCACUCUCAUGGAGGCGGUGGUCAUGACCAUGCACACAGCGCUAGCAAUGGAGGUUUUAUAAUAGGUCAUGGUCAUUCACAUGGACAUAGCCAUGAUAGCGGGCAUGGACAUAGCCAUGAUAGUGGGCAUGGACAUGAACACAAAAGCGACCACGGCCAUGGACAUGGACAUUCACAUGGACACUCGCAUCACGAAGAUGAUACUCUUCCCCAGGCACAUAAAGGACCCAAAACUCAGAUUUUACAAGG